GUGAAAGGCCAAUCAAACUUCGUGAUAGCUGGUUCUCUCCGAAAUAUAUUUAGGUAUAGCGUUGUGUCGUAAUAUAAGGGGGUAGAGCACUGAAUGGGCUAGGGCAUACACCAAUGUACCAAACCCUAUCAAACUCCGAAUACCUUAUAUGUAAUCACAGCAGUCAGGCGGCGAGUGAUAAAAUCCGUCGUCAAGAGGGAAACAACCCAGACUACCAGCUAAGGUCCCUAAAUCUUACUUAAGUGGAAAACGAUGUGAAGUUACUUAAACAACCAGGAGGUUGGCUUAGAAGCAGCCAUCCUUUAAAGAAAGCGUAAUAGCUCACUGGUCUAGUGAUUUUGCGCGGAAAAUAUAACGGGGCUAAAGUAAGUACCGAAGCUGUAGACUUGCACACAACUUAGAUUAUUUAAGUUUAGAAUAUGAGAAACUAAGUUAUAUGUUUAGUUAUAUUUUUACUGAUUUUUAUAGAGUAAAGAUAGAAAUAAAACUUAGUAAAAUCAGUAAAAAUAUUCUUAGACUAAAGUUAAGUAGUUUAAGUUGUGUGCAAGUGGUAGGAGAGCGUUCUAUUUGCGUCGAAGGUAUACCGGUAAGGAGUGCUGGAGCGAAUAGAAGUGAGCAUGCAGGCAUGAGUAGCGAUAAUUAAUGUGAGAAUCAUUAACGCCGUAAACCCAAGGUUUCCUACGCGAUGCUCGUCAUCGUAGGGUUAGUCGGGUCCUAAGUCGAGUCCGAAAGGGGUAGACGAUGGCAAAUUGGUUAAUAUUCCAAUACCAACAUUAGUGUGCGAUGGAAGGACGCUUAGGGCUAAGGGGGCUAGCGGAUGGAAGUGCUAGUCUAAGGUCGUAGGAGGUUAUACAGGCAAAUCCGUAUAACAAUACUCCGAGAACUGAAAGGCUUUUUGAAGUCUUCGGAUGGAUAGAAGAACCCCUGAUGCCAUCGAGCCAAGAAAAGUUUCUAAGUUUAGCUAAUGUUGCCCGUACCGUAAACCGACACAGGUGGGUGGGAUGAGUAUUCUAAGGCGCGUGGAAGAACUCUCUUUAAGGAACUCUGCAAAAUAGCACCGUAUCUUCGGUAUAAGGUGUGGUUCGCUUCGUAUUAGGAUUUACUCCGAAAGCGAAGAAACUUACAACAAAGAGUCCCUCCCGACUGUUUACCAAAAACACAGCACUCUGCUAACUCGUAAGAGGAUGUAUAGGGUGUGACGCCUGCCCGGUGCUCGAAGGUUAAUUGAUGGGGUUAGCAUUAGCGAAGCUCUUGAUCGAAGCCCGAGUAAACGGCGGCCGUAACUAUAACGGUCCUAAGGUAGCGAAAUUCCUUGUCGGUUAAAUACCGACCUGCAUGAAUGGCGUAACGAGAUGGGAGCUGUCUCAAAGAGGGAUCCAGUGAAAUUGUAGUGGAGGUGAAAAUUCCUCCUACCCGCGGCAAGACGGAAAGACCCCGUGGACCUUUACUACAGCUUGACACUGCUAUUUGGAUAAGAAUGUGCAGGAUAGGUGGGAGGCUUUGAGUAUAUGACGCCAGUUGUAUAUGAGCCAUUGUUGAGAUACCACUCUUUCUUAUUUGGGUAGCUAACCAGCUUGAGUUAUCCUCAAGUGGGACAAUGUCUGGUGGGUAGUUUGACUGGGGCGGUCGCCUCCCAAAUAAUAACGGAGGCUUACAAAGGUUGGCUCAGAACGGUUGGAAAUCGUUCGUAGAGUAUAAAGGUAUAAGCCAGCUUAACUGCAAGACAUACAAGUCAAGCAGAGACGAAAGUCGGUCUUAGUGAUCCGGUGGUUCUGUGUGGAAGGGCCAUCGCUCAAAGGAUAAAAGGUACCCCGGGGAUAACAGGCUGAUCUCCCCCAAGAGCUCACAUUGACGGGGAGGUUUGGCACCUCGAUGUCGGCUCAUCGCAUCCUGGGGCUGGAGCAGGUCCCAAGGGUAUGGCUGUUCGCCAUUUAAAGCGGUACGCGAGCUGGGUUCAGAACGUCGUGAGACAGUUCGGUCCCUAUCUGCCGUGGGCGUAAGAAGAUUGAAGAGAUUUGACCCUAGUACGAGAGGACCGGGUUGAACAAACCACUGGUGUAGCUGUUGUUCUGCCAAGAGCAUCGCAGCGUAGCUAAGUUUGGAAAGGAUAAACGCUGAAAGCAUCUAAGCGUGAAGCCAACUCUAAGAUGAAUCUUCUCUAAGCUCUCUAGAAGACUACUAGUUUGAUAGGCUGGGUGUGUAAUGGAUGAAAGUCCUUUAGCUGACCAGUACUAAUAGAGCGUUUGGCUUAUCUUU
This 2256-nucleotide ribosomal RNA is filed under the name Campylobacter coli. RNAcentral's name for it is "partial 23S ribosomal RNA". It matches the Rfam family "Bacterial large subunit ribosomal RNA", at positions 821 to 2925 of the family's 2925-position model. Lineage: Bacteria; Pseudomonadati; Campylobacterota; Epsilonproteobacteria; Campylobacterales; Campylobacteraceae. The record is from RNAcentral.